Molecule: unclassified non-coding RNA, 332 nt
Filed under: soil metagenome
Description: partial contains 5.8S ribosomal RNA, internal transcribed spacer 2, and large subunit ribosomal RNA
Rfam family: 5.8S ribosomal RNA (bases 1-120)
Source: RNAcentral
GAUGAAGAACGUAGCGAAAUGCGAUAAGUAAUGUGAAUUGCAGAAUUCAGUGAAUCAUCGAAUCUUUGAACGCACAUUGCGCCCGCCAGUAUUCUGGCGAGCAUGCCUGUUCGAGCGUCAUUUCAACCAUCAAGCCCCAGGCUUGUGUUGGAGCCCUGCGGCUGCCGCAGCCUCCCAAAACCAGUGGCGGGCUCGCUAUCACACCGAGUGCAGUAGUUUACUCUUCGCUCAGGGCGUGUGGCGGGUGCUAGCCGUGAAACCCCCAACUUCUCAAGGUUGACCUCGGAUCAGGUAGGAAUACCCGCUGAACUUAAGCAUAUCAAUAAGCGGGA